UACAGAGGGGGCGAGCGUUGUUCGGAAUUACUGGGCGUAAAGGGCGCGUAGGCGGCCUUCUAAGUCGAACGUGAAAUCCCCGGGCUCAACCCGGGAACUGCGUCCGAUACUGGGAGGCUUGAAUCCGGGAGAGGGAUGUGGAAUUCCAGGUGUAGCGGUGUAAUGCGUAGAUAUCUGGAGGAACACCGGUGGCGAAGGCGGCAUCCUGGACCGGUAUUGACGCUGAGGCGCGAAAGCCAGGGGAGCAAACGGG
RNAcentral lists this ribosomal RNA (253 nucleotides) under uncultured bacterium. Its description in RNAcentral is "partial 16S ribosomal RNA". It matches the Rfam family "Bacterial small subunit ribosomal RNA", at positions 524 to 776 of the family's 1533-position model. The record is from RNAcentral.